This 464-nucleotide ribosomal RNA is filed under the name uncultured bacterium. Its description in RNAcentral is "bacterial SSU rRNA". It matches the Rfam family "Bacterial small subunit ribosomal RNA", at positions 331 to 793 of the family's 1533-position model. The record is from RNAcentral.
CCAGACUCCUACGGGAGGCAGCAGUGAGGAAUAUUGGUCAAUGGUCGGGAGACUGAACCAGCCAAGCCGCGUGAGGGAGGAAGGUACAGAGUAUCGUAAACCUCUUUUGUCAGGGAACAAAGACUGGGACGCGUCCCCGGAUGAGUGUACCUGAAGAAAAAGCAUCGGCUAACUCCGUGCCAGCAGCCGCGGUAAUACGGAGGAUGCGAGCGUUAUCCGGAUUUAUUGGGUUUAAAGGGUGCGCAGGCGGUCUGUUAAGUCAGCGGUCAAAUUGCGGGGCUCAACCCCGUACUGCCGUUGAAACUGGCGUUCUUGAGUGAGCGAGAAGUAUGCGGAAUGCGUGGUGUGGCGGUGAAAUGCAUAGAUAUCACGCAGAACUCCGAUUGCGAAGGCAGCAUACCGGCGCUCAACUGACGCUCAUGCACGAAAGUGUGGGUAUCGAACAGGAUUAGAUACCCCCGUAA